AGAGUUUGAUCAUGGCUCAGAUUGAACGCUGGCGGCAGGCCUAACACAUGCAAGUCGAACGGUAACAGGAAACAGCUUGCUGUUUCGCUGACGAGUGGCGGACGGGUGAGUAAUGUCUGGGAAACUGCCUGAUGGAGGGGGAUAACUACUGGAAACGGUAGCUAAUACCGCAUAACGUCGCAAGACCAAAGAGGGGGACCUUCGGGCCUCUUGCCAUCAGAUGUGCCCAGAUGGGAUUAGCUAGUAGGUGGGGUAACGGCUCACCUAGGCGACGAUCCCUAGCUGGUCUGAGAGGAUGACCAGCCACACUGGAACUGAGACACGGUCCAGACUCCUACGGGAGGCAGCAGUGGGGAAUAUUGCACAAUGGGCGCAAGCCUGAUGCAGCCAUGCCGCGUGUAUGAAGAAGGCCUUCGGGUUGUAAAGUACUUUCAGCGGGGAGGAAGGGAGUAAAGUUAAUACCUUUGCUCAUUGACGUUACCCGCAGAAGAAGCACCGGCUAACUCCGUGCCAGCAGCCGCGGUAAUACGGAGGGUGCAAGCGUUAAUCGGAAUUACCGGGCGUAAAGCGCACGCAGGCGGUUUGUUAAGUCAGAUGUGAAAUCCCCGGGCUCAACCUGGGAACUGCAUCUGAUACUGGCAAGCUUGAGUCUCGUAGAGGGGGGUAGAAUUCCAGGUGUAGCGGUGAAAUGCGUAGAGAUCUGGAGGAAUACCGGUGGCGAAGGCGGCCCCCUGGACGAAGACUGACGCUCAGGUGCGAAAGCGUGGGGAGCAAACAGGAUUAGAUACCCUGGUAGUCCACGCCGUAAACGAUGUCGACUUGGAGGUUGUGCCCUUGAGGCGUGGCUUCCGGAGCUAACGCGUUAAGUCGACCGCCUGGGGAGUACGGCCGCAAGGUUAAAACUCAAAUGAAUUGACGGGGGCCCGCACAAGCGGUGGAGCAUGUGGUUUAAUUCGAUGCAACGCGAAGAACCUUACCUGGUCUUGACAUCCACGGAAGUUUUCAGAGAUGAGAAUGUGCCUUCGGGAACCGUGAGACAGGUGCUGCAUGGCUGUCGUCAGCUCGUGUUGUGAAAUGUUGGGUUAAGUCCCGCAACGAGCGCAACCCUUAUCCUUUGUUGCCAGCGGUCCGGCCGGGAACUCAAAGGAGACUGCCAGUGAUAAACUGGAGGAGGUGGGGAUGGCGUCAAGUCAUCAUGGCCCUUACGACCAGGGCUACACACGUGCUACAAUGGCGCAUACGAAGAGAAGCGACCUCGCGAGAGCAAGCGGACCUCAUAAAGUGCGUCGUAGUCCGGAUUGGAGUCUGCAACUCGACUCCAUGAAGUCGGAAUCGCUAGUAAUCGUGGAUCAGAAUGCCACGGUGAAUACGUUCCCGGGCCUUGUACACACCGCCCGUCACACCAUGGGAGUGGGUUGCAAAAGAAGUAGGUAGCUUAACCUUCGGGAGGGCGCUUACCACUUUGUGAUUCAUGACUGGGGUGAAGUCGUAACAAGGUAACCGUAGGGGAACCUGCGGUUG
RNAcentral lists this ribosomal RNA (1521 nucleotides) under metagenome. RNAcentral describes it as "bacterial SSU rRNA". It matches the Rfam family "Bacterial small subunit ribosomal RNA". The record is from RNAcentral.